This 367-nucleotide ribosomal RNA is filed under the name uncultured organism. RNAcentral's name for it is "bacterial LSU rRNA". It matches the Rfam family "Bacterial large subunit ribosomal RNA", at positions 2099 to 2465 of the family's 2925-position model. The record is from RNAcentral.
CUUUACUGUAACUUGAAAUUGAAAUUGGACUUUAGUUGCGCAGGAUAGGUGGGAGGCGUUGAGAAUAUUCUUGCGGGAGUAUUGGAGCCAUCAGUGAGAUACCACUCUUCUAAUGUUAGAUUUCUAACUUUGUAUCAUUAUCUGGUCAAAGAACAGUUUCAGGCGGGCAGUUUGACUGGGGCGGUCGCCUCCUAAAGGGUAACGGAGGCGCACAAAGGUUUCCUCUGAACGAGUAGAAAUCGUAUCUAGAGUGUAAAGGCAUAAGGAAGCUUGACUGUGAGACCUACAAGUCGAGCAGGGACGAAAGUCGGUCUUAGUGAUCUGACGGUGCUGAGUGGAAAGGCCGUCACUCAACGGAUAAAAGUUA